Molecule: long non-coding RNA, 1905 nt
Organism: Macaca mulatta (Rhesus monkey)
Lineage: Eukaryota; Metazoa; Chordata; Mammalia; Primates; Cercopithecidae
Source: Ensembl
CCAUGAGCUCGGGCAACUGUCCGGACUGAGAUGCCCGGGACUGGGACUGUUAUCUUGGCUACUGGGUCCCGAAGUCCCCCUCCGCCCCGGGAAUUGUGCCCACCAUUUUCUCGGUCCCAGGAGCUCUGGGAAUGUGUCAUCCCCGGUAGAGGGUGCCCGUCACGGCCAACCACAGAGAUCCCGGUCCUCCAGGAUUCUAGAGCGGCCGGCCGAACCCUCCACUGACUUCCGGUGGCUGAGUCUCUCCGCAGCUUCCGGCCAAGUUGGACCGCACCUGGGGGUUUCCUGGCCUGCAGAAUUUGGCCAGCAAUUCAACUUGUCUGUCUACAAGUAAACUGGACUCCAAUCAUGUCAUCAUCUUCCCUGUGGAGACCAUUGCUGACAUUUACUGAGCCCUACUAGUAGGGACCUUAUGAUCCUCAUUUUCCCAGAAGCUGAGACUCAGAGAGGUUAAGCAAACAGCCCAAGGUCACACAGCCAGUGAGAGGGAGAGUUUGGAUUGGAACUCAGCUCUGUCUACUGACUAACUCCUAGAAGAAGCUACUCCAAGCACUUUCUCCCGUGAGCUUCAGGGGUAAGCGGGGCGUGCCUAGCCCCUGAGUCAUGGUUUAGAGAGGCCAGGGAUUCCCGCAGCCCUUCAAAUGACUUAACAAGAGAGUGAGAUAGUCCAGGCAAUGCCCUCUUCUCAUCAAUGAAGAUUUUGAGGCCCAGAAUACAGCAAUGACUGGCCUGGGCUCAUAGUGCAAGUUGAGGAAAGGCUCUGCUUGCUAUCCCGCCUCGGACUCUGCCUCAGACCCAGACUGGGUUAUUCUGUUAUGCUGCAGGAGGUGGAUCCGAGUUGUCUCUCCCCAUGUCAGACUCUAGGCCCUCCCUGUGGCUGGAACCCCAGGGCCCUCCAGAGUGCUCCCCAAAGACCUCCACUCACACAUUCACUCAACAAGCAUUUAGUACAUGAUCCCAGGGCACCCACCCUCCACUGCAUAUGCUGGGACUUUGAGUCUGGCUAGGGAGACCAAGUCAGACCACUAGUGUGGAAGUGCUGUGACCAAGGGGCUGAGGAAGCCCAGGGUGAGCCCUAGACCAAGUUGGGGAUCCGAAGAAAGACAUCCCAGAGGAAGGGGCAUUUAUCUGGCUCUUGAAGUUAACAGGAAGCUUCCAGGCAGAAAUGGCAGGAAGGACUUUCUAGAACAAAGGAACAGCAUUUGCAUUUGCAAAUGUGAUAUACAGAAUGCUCCUGAAUUAGACACAUAAAAAACGGUUGAUUGGCUGGAUGUAGUGGCUCACGCCUGUAAUCCCAGCACUUUGGGAGGCCAAGGCAGGUGGAUCACUUGAGGUCAGGAGUUUGAGACCAGCCUGGCCAACAUGGGGAAACCCUGUCUCUACCAAAAAUACAAAAAUUAGCUGGGCCUGGUGGCGAGCACCUAUAGUCCCAGCUACUCGGGAGGCGGAGGCAGGAGAAUCGCUUGAACCCAGGAGGCAGAGGUUGCAGUGAGCCGAGAUGGCGCCACUGCACUCUAGCCUGGGCAACAAGAGCGAAACUCUGUCUCAAAAAAAAAAAAAGAUUGAUUUUAGGUUAUGUGAACUUCCCCUCAAAAAACAAACACACAACAUUGUUGAGAACGUCAUGUGCAGGUGCAGAGGCCAAAGCGGCUCCGUCUCAGAGGCGAAUCCGCCAUGCUGGCUUCUGAUUGACCCCAGUUCCAGAAAGGCCUCUAAGAUUUCUCCUUUAUGUACUGUCACUGGCAAUGCCGAUCAAUUGUCCUCCACACCCCUUCUGAAGCACGUAUGUCCUUUCCCUAUGCUAUACAUGCCCUGACUCUGGGUGUCACAGUGUGGAGACCUACGUGUCUCAUGACUGCCCAAGACAUAGCUUCUGUUCGUAUGCCUCUAUAAAAUGCUUCUUUC